ACGGGUGAGUAACACGUGGAUAACCUACCUAUAAGACUGGGAUAACUUCGGGAAACCGGAGCUAAUACCGGAUAACAUAUUGAACCGCAUGGUUCAAUAGUGAAAGGCGGCUUUGCUGUCACUUAUAGAUGGAUCUGCGCCGUAUUAGCUAGUUGGUAAGGUAACGGCUUACCAAGGCAACGAUACGUAGCCGACCUGAGAGGGUGAUCGGCCACACUGGAACUGAGACACGGUCCAGACUCCUACGGGAGGCAGCAGUAGGGAAUCUUCCGCAAUGGGCGAAAGCCUGACGGAGCAACGCCGCGUGAGUGAUGAAGGUCUUCGGAUCGUAAAACUCUGUUAUCAAGGAAGAACAAAUGUGUAAGUAACUGUGCACAUCUUGACGGUACCUGAUCAGAAAGCCACGGCUAACUACGUGCCAGCAGCCGCGGUAAUACGUAGGUGGCAAGCGUUAUCCGGAAUUAUUGGGCGUAAAGCGCGCGUAGGCGGUUUUUUAAGUCUGAUGUGAAAGCCCACGGCUCAACCGUGGAGGGUCAUUGGAAACUGGAAAACUUGAGUGCAGAAGAGGAAAGUGGAAUUC
Molecule: ribosomal RNA, 580 nt
Filed under: uncultured bacterium
Lineage: Bacteria
Description: bacterial SSU rRNA
Rfam family: Bacterial small subunit ribosomal RNA
Source: RNAcentral